RNAcentral lists this ribosomal RNA (466 nucleotides) under Vreelandella stevensii. RNAcentral describes it as "partial 16S ribosomal RNA". It matches the Rfam family "Bacterial small subunit ribosomal RNA", at positions 338 to 795 of the family's 1533-position model. Lineage: Bacteria; Pseudomonadati; Pseudomonadota; Gammaproteobacteria; Oceanospirillales; Halomonadaceae. The record is from RNAcentral.
CCUACGGGAGGCAGCAGUGGGGAAUAUUGGACAAUGGGGGGAACCCUGAUCCAGCCAUGCCGCGUGUGUGAAGAAGGCCCUCGGGUUGUAAAGCACUUUCAGUGAGGAAGAACGCCUGGUGGUUAAUACCCAUCAGGAAAGACAUCACUCACAGAAGAAGCACCGGCUAACUCCGUGCCAGCAGCCGCGGUAAUACGGAGGGUGCGAGCGUUAAUCGGAAUUACUGGGCGUAAAGCGCGCGUAGGGUGGCUUGAUAAGCCGGUUGUGAAAGCCCCGGGCUCAACCUGGGAACGGCAUCCGGAACGGUCAAGCUAGAGGGGAGGAGAGGAAGGUAGACACCCCGGUGGAGCGGUGACAUGCGUAGAGAUCGGGAGGAAUAGCAGUGGCGAAGGCGGCCUUCAGGACUGACAAUGACACGGAGGUGCGAAAGCGUGGGUAGCAAACCGGAUUAGAUACCCGUGGAGUC